GUUGAAGCAAGAGAUUAUAUUAUAUUUCGAAACAUAGUCUAUUACAAGGCUAAAGCAAAAUUAGACUAAGAAAUAAACUAACUAUUACAAAAAUAGUUAAAAAAAAGAAAGAGAAUUCCACAUGUGAUAGAAAAAAGUCGCACUAGUCCCCACUCUGCAUAUUCUAGAUUUGGAUAUUAGUAGCGUUUAGCAAAGAUAAAACAAUAAACGAAACAUAAAAUUAAAGAAAGAAACUUUGUUAUUACCUUUGUAGACUACAAGGCUAGUUUCUGGUGGCAUCUUUCUAUCAUCAAAACGUCACCAAAAAGAUAGGAGCAUAUAUAUAGCUAAAUUUCGACACUCUCGUAAAAGGACUUUAUAUAAAUUAUAAGUUUGUUGAAGCAAAAAUAGUUUAAAAUAUUGAUGCUUGGGAAACUGUGCGAGCCCAAUGAAUCAUUCAAAAUAUUAUUCAUUCAUUGGAAAUAUUUUAAGCACGCUAGCAAUAACAAGAACAAAAAAUUAUGAUUCAUUAAGCCACACAAUUUCUAAAGCACCCUCAUUUUUAAAUAAAUUUUUUAACUUCAACCAACUUAUCUUAACAAAGACCCGUGACGAGAGUGCUGAAAAAUAGCUCACUUUCUCGAUACAUUAUUAGAUGUGACCACUGCCAUUCCUGCAAAAAGGAGCACAAUUAAUCAAUUUCGAUAUAUAUAUAUAUAUAUAUAUAUAUAUAUAUAUAUAUAGAUANUAUAUAGUAUAUAUAUAUAUAUAUAUAUAUAUAUAUAUAUAUAUAUAUAUAUGCAUUGUAAAUUUUGAACACUUUCGAGAAUAAAUGUAGCAACUUUAAAAAUUAGACGAAUAGAAAAUACUAGAAAGCAUGAGCAAUAUCGAAAGAGUUAGUAAAUUAAUUUAAACAAAAAAGCAAAAUAAAAUUAAAUAAAAACAUUUAACAGUGAUUUACUGUAUGACGCACAUCAAAGCAACUUUUAUUGCAGUGACAAAAAUAGUACACAAGCAAACGUGCAGGGCAUCUAUAUUGCUUCUUCUAGUAAAGAAACAGUUUUAAAAAUCCGAAAGUGAAAAAACUAACCACCAAUUUAAAUGAAUUACUGAUGAUAAAAAAAUUUUACUUCUCCCUUCCCCAAAAAAUAUCUACUUCUCACAAUCAUAAAAAAAAUUAACAAUGAAUACUUUGAAUUACAAAAAAAAUACUGCUUAGAAUUAGAAAGAAGAUCUCCAAAUCUUUAAAAAAAAUGAAAAAAAAAAGAGCAAAAUAAACGGUAGAUUUGAAAAUUAAUGGAAAGAGCUUACUUACCUUGACGCCGUAAUCAAAUCUCCACCGGCAGAAACUUCAUCAAAAGCCAGCUGCAGCUGAAGUUCCUCGUGCAGAUUGCUGCGAGUAGUGGUUGGGAGAGGAAGCGAUUGUAGAGAUGGUAGAA
This 1418-nucleotide long non-coding RNA is filed under the name Salvia miltiorrhiza (redroot sage). Its description in RNAcentral is "long non-coding RNA (SMIL_LNC005753)". The record is from RNAcentral. Lineage: Eukaryota; Viridiplantae; Streptophyta; Magnoliopsida; Lamiales; Lamiaceae.